RNAcentral lists this ribosomal RNA (279 nucleotides) under uncultured bacterium. Its description in RNAcentral is "partial 16S ribosomal RNA". It matches the Rfam family "Bacterial small subunit ribosomal RNA", at positions 506 to 784 of the family's 1533-position model. The record is from RNAcentral.
UGCCAGCCGCCGCGGUAAUACGGAGGGUGCAAGCGUUAAUCGGAAUUACUGGGCGUAAAGGGUGCGUAGGUUGUUGAUUAAGUUAUCUGUGAAAGACCCGGGCUUAACCUGGGGGUGUCAGAUGAAACUGAUUGACUAGAGUAUGGUAGAGGGUAGUGGAAUUUCCGGUGUAGCGGUGAAAUGCGUAGAUAUCGGAAGGAACACCAGUGGCGAAGGCGACUACCUGGGCUAAUACUGACACUGAGGCACGAAAGCGUGGGUAGCGAACAGGAUUAGAUA